Molecule: long non-coding RNA, 947 nt
Organism: Colius striatus (speckled mousebird)
Lineage: Eukaryota; Metazoa; Chordata; Aves; Coliiformes; Coliidae
Exons: 7
Source: RefSeq, a predicted model, not a curated record
GGCGGCGCUGGAAGGACGGCGCGCGGAGGCGCUGCAAGCAGUGGGGCCGCGCCGGGCCCGUUCCAGCCGGGCUCAGCCGAGCCAGUAGCGGCCGCGCGUUGGACCGGGCCGGGCCGGCGAAGGUGUGCACUUUCAUCAGUUUUCAGCUGCACGAUGUCACCGAUGCCUGUCCCUGGGUUAAUUUUAGCUGUCGCUCUUCUCCUUCCACGCCAAAGUGCUUCUGUCAUAAUCCUCUGACAAUACCCCUCCUUCGAGGAGUAAAAGGGAGCAGCAGAAGUUUUACUUGUCUUCCCAUGGCAUCUGACUUUUUUGAGGAAGAGGUAAGGUGUUUGAUUUUUGUAAGCACCUAUUUGUGGCAUGCCUCUUAGAAAGGGCAGAUGUGAACACCAUCCAGGGAGAUGUGGCACUAACGUCAUGUCUGUGGGAUUCAACAACAUGAUAGAUCAAUGGAAUGCACCAAGGAGCUGAAGCAGCAAGGUCCACGAUGGGGAAGAUGAAGCCAGCUGUCCAUCCUGUCCUGUACCUGCCUGAGUGCAGGAAGAGUCCUCAUACAAAGUCAGAAUGCAUCUGGGCUUGCAGUUCUUUUAAACCAUAUUCAGAGUUAAUGAUGAGCUCAGUGAGACUGGCAGUGCUAAAGAAGGGAAGAACAGAGAUGGAAGGCAGGAACUAUUUCAAAGCAGGAUUUUUCUCCUUUCCAUAACACACAAAGAUGAAGAUUUUAUAAACUUCAUUAGAUCCUGUCAUCAGUGACUGAGCUGCCCUGAAAUCUUCUUAUCAGUUGCUGCCGAGAUGAGAAGGAUAACAGGAAGGAGGAUUGCUAAAGUGGUUUUAAUGACAGUUAAUUUCAUCUAUUUAUCAAAUGACAGGUUGUUUUUUCCUCAAAACUCGAUUGUCAUGACAAGAUGCUUUUGGAAGUCAUCUUUGUAAAAUAAAACUGACAAUUUUUA